AUGAACCCCGUUCCAGAUUUUUACCGGAGGCAGCCAGUAGGGAUCUUCCACAAUGGCGAAGCUGAUGAGCACGCCGCGUGCAGAUGAAUGCUCGGGUGUAAACUGCUUUAUAGACGAAGAUUAUGACGGUAAUCUAUGAAUAAGGAUCGGCUAACUCCGUGCCAGCAGCCGCGGUCAUACGGAGGAUCCAAGCGUUAUUCGGAAUGACUGGGCGUAAAGAGUUGCGUAGGCGGCAAUCUAAGCGAGUAGUGAAAUUUUAGGGCUCAACCCUGAAACUGUUACUCGAACUGGAUAGCUAGAGUGUAUGAGGGGUACCUGGAAUUCCUAGUGUAGGAGUGAAAUCCGUAGAUAUUAGGAGGAACACCAAUGGCGAAGGCAGGGUACUGGCAUAUUACUGACGCUAAGGCACGAAAGCGUGGGGAGCGAACCGGAUUAGAUACCCGGGUAGUCCACGCCGUAAACGAUGGAUGCUAGCUGUAGGGGGUAUCGACCCCUUCUGUAGCGAAGCUAACGCGUUAAGCAUCCCGCCUGGGGAGUACGGUCGCAAGAUUAAAACUCAAAGGAAUUGACGGGGACCCGCACAAGCGGUGGAGCGUGUUGUUUAAUUGGAUGAUAAGCCAAGAACCUUACCAAGGUUUGACAUCCUCCGAAAUUCUGGGAAACCAGAGUGUGCCUUUUGGAACGGAGUGACAGGUGAUGCAUGGCCGUCGUCAGCUCGUGUCGUGAGAUGUUGGGUUAAGUCCCUCAACGAGCGCAACCCUUAUGUUUAGUUGGAUUUUUCUAGAUAGACUGCCUCGGUAACGGGGAGGAAGGAGGGGAUGACGUCAGGUCCGUAUUUCCCUUACACCUUGGGCUACAAACACGCUACAAUGGCCGGUACAAUGGGCAGCCAAGUCGCGAGAUGGAGCAAAUCCCAUCAAAGCCGGUCCCAGUUCGGAUUGUAGGCUGAAACUCGCCUGCAUGAAGUCGGAAUCGCUAGUAACCGUUGGUCAGCACACUACGGUGAAUACGUUCCCGGGUCUUGUACACACCGCCCGUCACACCACGAAAGUCGCCAACACCCGAAGUACGAAUUUAUUUCGUCCUAAG
Molecule: ribosomal RNA, 1089 nt
Filed under: uncultured bacterium
Lineage: Bacteria
Description: bacterial SSU rRNA
Rfam family: Bacterial small subunit ribosomal RNA
Source: RNAcentral